UACGAAGGGGGCUAGCGUUGUUCGGAAUUACUGGGCGUAAAGCGCGCGCAGGCGGUCUUCCAAGUCAGUGGUGAAAGCCCGGAGCUCAACUCCGGAACUGCCAUUGAAACUGUGAGACUAGAGUACGAGAGAGGUGAGUGGAAUUCCCAGUGUAGAGGUGAAAUUCGUAGAUAUUGGGAAGAACACCGGUGGCGAAGGCGGCUCACUGGCUCGUUACUGACGCUCAGGCGCGACAGCGUGGGGAUCAAACAGGAUUAGAUACCCUGGUAGUCCACGCCGUAAACUAUGAACGCUAGCCGUUAGGCAGCUUGCUGCUUAGUGGCGCAGCUAACGCAUUAAGCGUUCCGCCUGGGGAGUACGGCCGCAAGGUUGAA
Molecule: ribosomal RNA, 374 nt
Filed under: uncultured bacterium
Lineage: Bacteria
Description: bacterial SSU rRNA
Rfam family: Bacterial small subunit ribosomal RNA
Source: RNAcentral